Long non-coding RNA from Orcinus orca (killer whale), 305 nucleotides. RefSeq lists it as uncharacterized. The record is from RefSeq and is a predicted model, not a curated record. Lineage: Eukaryota; Metazoa; Chordata; Mammalia; Artiodactyla; Delphinidae. The transcript has 2 exons.
GAAUCUGCCUGCCAGUGCAGGGGACACGGGUUCGAUCCCUGGUCCCGGAAGAUCCCACAUGCUGCGGAGCAACUAAGCCCCCUGCGGUCUAGAGCCCGAGAGCCACAACUACUGAGCCCGCGUGCCACAACUACUGAAGCCCACACGCCUAGAGCCCAUGCUCCGCAACGAGAAGCCACAGUAAUGAGGAGCCCACACACCACAACAAAGAGUAGCUCCUGCUCACCGCAACUAGAGGAAACCUGUGCGCAGCAAUGAAGACCCAACGCAGCCAAAAAUAAUUAAUUUUUUUUAAAAAAAAGGAA